Molecule: unclassified non-coding RNA, 305 nt
Filed under: plant metagenome
Description: partial contains 5.8S ribosomal RNA, internal transcribed spacer 2, and large subunit ribosomal RNA
Rfam family: 5.8S ribosomal RNA (bases 1-105)
Source: RNAcentral
GAAAUGCGAUAAGUAAUGUGAAUUGCAUAAUUCAGUGAAUCAUCGAAUCUUCGAACGCACAUUGCGCCCGCCAGUAUUCUGGCGGGCAUGCCUGUUCGAGCGUCAUUUCAACCAUCAAGCCCCCGGCUUGUGUUGGGGACCUGCGGCUGCCCGCAGGCCCUGAAAAACAGUGGCGGGCUCGCUGUCACACCGAGCGUAGUAGCAUACAUUCUCGCUCAGGGCGUGCUGCGGGUUCCGGCCGUUAAACGACCUUCAUAACCCAAGGUUGACCUCGGAUCAGGUAGGAAGACCCGCUGAACUUAAGC